UUUUUUUUUUUUUUUUUUUUUUCUUUUUUCUCAGACGAACGCGGCGGCGUGCCUAAUACAUGCAAGUCGAACGAACUCUGGUAUUGAUUGGUGCUUGCAUCAUGAUUUACAUUUGAGUGAGUGGCGAACUGGUGAGUAACACGUGGGAAACCUGCCCAGAAGCGGGGGAUAACACCUGGAAACAGAUGCUAAUACCGCAUAACAACUUGGACCGCAUGGUCCGAGCUUGAAAGAUGGCUUCGGCUAUCACUUUUGGAUGGUCCCGCGGCGUAUUAGCUAGAUGGUGGGGUAACGGCUCACCAUGGCAAUGAUACGUAGCCGACCUGAGAGGGUAAUCGGCCACAUUGGGACUGAGACACGGCCCAAACUCCUACGGGAGGCAGCAGUAGGGAAUCUUCCACAAUGGACGAAAGUCUGAUGGAGCAACGCCGCGUGAGUGAAGAAGGGUUUCGGCUCGUAAAACUCUGUUGUUAAAGAAGAACAUAUCUGAGAGUAACUGUUCAGGUAUUGACGGUAUUUAACCAGAAAGCCACGGCUAACUACGUGCCAGCAGCCGCGGUAAUACGUAGGUGGCAAGCGUUGUCCGGAUUUAUUGGGCGUAAAGCGAGCGCAGGCGGUUUUUUAAGUCUGAUGUGAAAGCCUUCGGCUCAACCGAAGAAGUGCAUCGGAAACUGGGAAACUUGAGUGCAGAAGAGGACAGUGGAACUCCAUGUGUAGCGGUGAAAUGCGUAGAUAUAUGGAAGAACACCAGUGGCGAAGGCGGCUGUCUGGUCUGUAACUGACGCUGAGGCUCGAAAGUAUGGGUAGCAAACAGGAUUAGAUACCCUGGUAGUCCAUACCGUAAACGAUGAAUGCUAAGUGUUGGAGGGUUUCCGCCCUUCAGUGCUGCAGCUAACGCAUUAAGCAUUCCGCCUGGGGAGUACGGCCGCAAGGCUGAAACUCAAAGGAAUUGACGGGGGCCCGCACAAGCGGUGGAGCAUGUGGUUUAAUUCGAAGCUACGCGAAGAACCUUACCAGGUCUUGACAUACUAUGCAAAUCUAAGAGAUUAGACGUUCCCUUCGGGGACAUGGAUACAGGUGGUGCAUGGUUGUCGUCAGCUCGUGUCGUGAGAUGUUGGGUUAAGUCCCGCAACGAGCGCAACCCUUAUUAUCAGUUGCCAGCAUUAAGUUGGGCACUCUGGUGAGACUGCCGGUGACAAACCGGAGGAAGGUGGGGAUGACGUCAAAUCAUCAUGCCCCUUAUGACCUGGGCUACACACGUGCUACAAUGGAUGGUACAACGAGUUGCGAACUCGCGAGAGUAAGCUAAUCUCUUAAAGCCAUUCUCAGUUCGGAUUGUAGGCUGCAACUCGCCUACAUGAAGUCGGAAUCGCUAGUAAUCGCGGAUCAGCAUGCCGCGGUGAAUACGUUCCCGGGCCUUGUACACACCGCCCGUCACACCAUGAGAGUUUGUAACACCCAAAGUCGGUGGGGUAACCUUUUAGGAACCAGCCGCCUAAGGUGGGACAGAUGAUUAGGGUGAAGCGAAAAGGGGGGGGG
RNAcentral lists this ribosomal RNA (1539 nucleotides) under Lactiplantibacillus plantarum. Its description in RNAcentral is "bacterial SSU rRNA". It matches the Rfam family "Bacterial small subunit ribosomal RNA". The record is from RNAcentral. Lineage: Bacteria; Bacillati; Bacillota; Bacilli; Lactobacillales; Lactobacillaceae.